Molecule: ribosomal RNA, 427 nt
Filed under: uncultured bacterium
Lineage: Bacteria
Description: bacterial SSU rRNA
Rfam family: Bacterial small subunit ribosomal RNA
Source: RNAcentral
UGGGGAAUUUUGGACAAUGGGCGCAAGCCUGAUCCAGCCAUGCCGCGUGCAGGAUGAAGGCCUUCGGGUUGUAAACUGCUUUUGUACGGAACGAAAAGGUGCCUUCUAAUAAAGGGCGCUCAUGACGGUAUCGUAAGAAUAAGCACCGGCUAACUACGUGCCAGCAGCCGCGGUAAUACGUAGGGUGCGAGCGUUAAUCGGAAUUACUGGGCGUAAAGCGUGCGUAGGCGGAUGCGCAAGUUGGGGGUGAAAUCCCGGGGCUUAACCUCGGAAUUGCCCUCAAAACUGCACGUCUUGAGACCGAGAGAGGUAAGGGGAAUUCCUAGUGUAGAGGUGAAAUUCGUAGAUAUUAGGAAGAACACCAGUGGCGAAGGCGCCUUACUGGCUCGGUACUGACGCUGAGGUACGAAAGCGUGGGGAGCAAACA